This 498-nucleotide ribosomal RNA is filed under the name uncultured bacterium. RNAcentral's name for it is "partial 16S ribosomal RNA". It matches the Rfam family "Bacterial small subunit ribosomal RNA", at positions 28 to 507 of the family's 1533-position model. The record is from RNAcentral.
GAUGAACGCUGGCGGCGUGCCUAAUACAUGCAAGUCGAGCGAACAGACGAGGAGCUUGCUCCUCUGACGUUAGCGGCGGACGGGUGAGUAACACGUGGAUAACCUACCUAUAAGACUGGGAUAACUUCGGGAAACCGGAGCUAAAUACCGGAUAAUAUAUUGAACCGCAUGGUUCAAUAGUGAAAGACGGUUUUGCUGUCACUUAUAGAUGGAUCCGCGCCGCAUUAGCUAGUUGGUAAGGUAACGGCUUACCAAGGCAACGAUGCGUAGCCGACCUGAGAGGGGGGUCGGCCACACGGGAACUGAGACACGGUCCAGACUCCUACGGGAGGCAGCAGUAGGGAAUCUUCCGCAAUGGGCGAAAGCUUGACGGAGCAACGCCGCGUGAGUGAUGAAGGUCUUCGGAUCGUAAAACUCUGUUAUUAGGGAAGAACAAAUGUGUAAGUAACUAUGCACGUCUUGACGGUACCUAAUCAGAAAGCCACGGCUAACUACGUG